This 426-nucleotide ribosomal RNA is filed under the name uncultured bacterium. Its description in RNAcentral is "bacterial SSU rRNA". It matches the Rfam family "Bacterial small subunit ribosomal RNA", at positions 354 to 796 of the family's 1533-position model. The record is from RNAcentral.
GUCGAGAAUUUUGGGCAAUGGACGAAAGUCUGACCCAGCAAUGCCGCGUGCGGGAUGAAGGUCUUCGGAUUGUAAACCGCUGUCAAGAGGGACGAAACAUGACGGUACCUCUGGAGGAAGCCACGGCUAACUACGUGCCAGCAGCCGCGGUAAUACGUAGGUGGCGAGCGUUGUUCGGAUUUAUUGGGCGUAAAGGGUCCGCAGGUGGUUGGAUAAGUUUGACGUGAAAUCCCAGAGCUCAACUCUGGAACUGCGUUGAAAACUGUCUGACUGGAGUAUCGGAGAGGAGAUUGGAAUUCCAGGUGUAGCGGUGGAAUGCGUAGAUAUCUGGAAGAACACCGAAAGCGAAGGCAGAUCUCUGGACGAUAACUGACACUCAGGGACGAAAGUAUGGGGAUCAAACAGGAUUAGAAACCCUAGUAGUCC